Molecule: transfer RNA, 72 nt
Filed under: Trialeurodes vaporariorum (greenhouse whitefly)
Lineage: Eukaryota; Metazoa; Arthropoda; Insecta; Hemiptera; Aleyrodidae
Description: tRNA-Asp for anticodon GUC
Rfam family: tRNA
About the family: Transfer RNA (tRNA) molecules are approximately 80 nucleotides in length.
Source: RNAcentral
GGCAGUGUAGCCUAGUGGUAAAGUGCUGGACCGUCAAUCGGAAGGUCGUGGGCUCGAACCCCACCACGGGCA